RNAcentral lists this long non-coding RNA (341 nucleotides) under Ananas comosus (pineapple). Its description in RNAcentral is "long non-coding RNA (ACOM_LNC017174)". Lineage: Eukaryota; Viridiplantae; Streptophyta; Magnoliopsida; Poales; Bromeliaceae. The record is from RNAcentral.
UCAAUACUGUGUGUGUGUAUAUAUAUAUAUAUAUAUAUAUAUGAAUUAGGCUGGAAUACUAUUAAUAGUAAAACGUUCUUUUUGCUAUCAAGUUUUUAACCCUUGGAUGAAAAAUUGUAGGGUCAGGAUGAUGUUAGUCGGUUAGAGUUGAGUGGUCCCACUAGGGUUGAGUGGUCCCCACUGGGUUAUAGUAUUUAAUCCAAUAGUUAGAAAUAAUGAAAAGAGUUGAUCCAAAGGCUAAAAAACUGGUAGCAACAAUGAAAUUUUGCUACUAAUAGUAGCCCAGUUCAAUUCUAUAUAUAUUAUACUAAUGGAUAAAAUAUAUUAAUUGUUCCCAACCA